GCUCGGGUGGUGGAAUAGGUAUACACGCAACACUUAAAAUGUUGUGGACUUACAAGUCCGUGCGGGUUCGAGUCCCGCCCCGAGCA
This is a non-coding RNA of Candidatus Buchananbacteria bacterium, 86 nucleotides long. Lineage: Bacteria; Candidatus Buchananiibacteriota. The record is from Rfam.